GAGAACUUAGUUAAUUUAUAGCACUACUUUGUCAAGGUAGAGUAAUGGGUUAAACCCCCAUACUUCUCU
This 69-nucleotide transfer RNA is filed under the name Anomaloglossus leopardus. RNAcentral's name for it is "tRNA-Asp". It matches the Rfam family "tRNA". From Rfam's summary of the family: Transfer RNA (tRNA) molecules are approximately 80 nucleotides in length. Lineage: Eukaryota; Metazoa; Chordata; Amphibia; Anura; Aromobatidae. The record is from RNAcentral. RNAcentral also lists the same sequence under 1 other name.